UCCACCCUAUGUACAAGAAAGAGUAUAAUAGGAAUAAAAAUUAAAAAUAAGAACAAAUUAAAAGAUAAUGAAAAAUCUUCAAAAUCAUGGUAUCUUCAAAAUCAUUUUUUAAGGCAACUCCUUUCAAAAUUUUAGAAGUAUGAGAUACGAGAUGAAAAAGAUGCAUAGAAAAAAUGAUGUUUUUAAUUUUUUUUUGACAAAAUGAUAAAAAUAUAGAUCAGGUAGAUGUCUUGGAAAGAUAAACAUUUAGACUUUA
Molecule: long non-coding RNA, 256 nt
Filed under: Lathyrus oleraceus (garden pea)
Lineage: Eukaryota; Viridiplantae; Streptophyta; Magnoliopsida; Fabales; Fabaceae
Description: Pisum sativum (pea) long non-coding RNA (PSAT_LNC009185)
Source: RNAcentral